CCUACGGGUGGCAGCAGUCGAGAAUCAUUCACAAUGGGGGAAACCCUGAUGGUGCGACGCCGCGUGGGGGAAUGAAGGUCUUCGGAUUGUAAACCCCUGUCAUGUGGGAGCAAAUUAAAAAGAUAGUACCACAAGAGGAAGAGACGGCUAACUCUGUGCCAGCAGCCGCGGUAAUACAGAGGUCUCAAGCGUUGUUCGGAAUCACUGGGCGUAAGGCGUGCGUAGGCUGUUUCGUAAGUCGGGUGUGAAAGGCGCGGGCUCAACCCGCGGACGGCACAUGAUACUGCGAGACUAGAGUAAUGGAGGGGGAACCGGAAUUCUCGGUGUAGCAGUGAAAUGCGUAGAUAUCGAGAGGAACACUCGUGGCGAAGGCGGGUUCCUGGACAUUAACUGACGCUGAGGCACGAAGGCCAGGGGAGCGAAAGGGAUUAGAUACCCUGGUAGUC
Molecule: ribosomal RNA, 446 nt
Filed under: uncultured bacterium
Lineage: Bacteria
Description: partial 16S ribosomal RNA
Rfam family: Bacterial small subunit ribosomal RNA
Source: RNAcentral